GACGGAGGGGGCAAGCGUUGCCCGGAAUCACUGGGCGUAAAGCGCACGUAGGCGGGACGGUGCGUCGGUGCUGAAAGCGCCAGGCUUAACCUGGCGAGGCGUGCCGAUACGACCGACCUCGAGGCAGACAGAGGGUGGCGGAAUUCCGGGUGUAGUGGUGAAAUGCGUAGAGAUCCGGAGGAACGCCGGUGGCGAAAGCGGCCACCUGGGUCUGACCUGACGCUGAGGUGCGAAAGCGUGGGGAGCAAACCGG
Molecule: ribosomal RNA, 253 nt
Filed under: uncultured bacterium
Lineage: Bacteria
Description: partial 16S ribosomal RNA
Rfam family: Bacterial small subunit ribosomal RNA
Source: RNAcentral